RNAcentral lists this ribosomal RNA (763 nucleotides) under uncultured Streptococcus sp. RNAcentral's name for it is "bacterial SSU rRNA". It matches the Rfam family "Bacterial small subunit ribosomal RNA", at positions 28 to 776 of the family's 1533-position model. Lineage: Bacteria; Bacillati; Bacillota; Bacilli; Lactobacillales; Streptococcaceae. The record is from RNAcentral.
GACGAACGCUGGCGGCGUGCCUAAUACAUGCAAGUAGAACGCUGAAGGAGGAGCUUGCUUCUUCGGAUGAGUUGCGAACGGGUGAGUAACGCGUAGGUAACCUGCCUGGUAGCGGGGGAUAACUAUUGGAAACGAUAGCUAAUACCGCAUAACAGUAGAUGUUGCAUGACAUUUGCUUAAAAGGUGCAAUUGCAUCACUACCAGAUGGACCUGCGUUGUAUUAGCUAGUUGGUGGGGUAACGGCUCACCAAGGCGACGAUACAUAGCCGACCUGAGAGGGUGAUCGGCCACACUGGGACUGAGACACGGCCCAGACUCCUACGGGAGGCAGCAGUAGGGAAUCUUCGGCAAUGGACGGAAGUCUGACCGAGCAACGCCGCGUGAGUGAAGAAGGUUUUCGGAUCGUAAAGCUCUGUUGUAAGAGAAGAACGAGUGUGAGAGUGGAAAGUUCACACUGUGACGGUAUCUUACCAGAAAGGGACGGCUAACUACGUGCCAGCAGCCGCGGUAAUACGUAGGUCUCGAGCGUUGUCCGGAUUUAUUGGGCGUAAAGCGAGCGCAGGCGGUUAGAUAAGUCUGAAGUUAAAGGCUGUGGCUUAACCAUAGUACGCUUUGGAAACUGUUUAACUUGAGUGCAAGAGGGGAGAGUGGAAUUCCAUGUGUAGCGGUGAAAUGCGUAGAUAUAUAGAGGAACACCGGUGGCGAAAGCGGCUCUCUGGCUUGUAACUGACGCUGAGGCUCGAAAGCGUGGGGAGCAAACAGG